Molecule: ribosomal RNA, 245 nt
Filed under: uncultured Methanobacterium sp.
Lineage: Archaea; Methanobacteriati; Methanobacteriota; Methanobacteria; Methanobacteriales; Methanobacteriaceae
Description: partial 16S ribosomal RNA
Rfam family: Archaeal small subunit ribosomal RNA
Source: RNAcentral
CACCGGCAGCUCAAGUGGUAGCCAUUUUUAUUGGGCCUAAAGCGUUCGUAGCCGGUUUGAUAAGUCUCUGGUGAAAUCCCACAGCUUAACUGUGGGAAUUGCUGGAGAUACUAUUAGACUUGAGGUCGGGAGAGGUUAGCGGUACUCCCAGGGUAGGGGUGAAAUCCUGUAAUCCUGGGAGGACCACCUGUGGCGAAGGCGGCUAACUGGAACGAACCUGACGGCCCCCGACGAAAGCCAGGGGC